UACGUAGGGUGCAGGCGUUAAUCGGAAUUACUGGGCGUAAAGCGUGCGCAGGCGGCUUCCUAAGUCAGAUGUGAAAUCCCCGGGCUUAACCUGGGAACUGCGUUUGAAACUGGGAGGCUAGAGUGCGGCAGAGGGAGGUGGAAUUCCACGUGUAGCAGUGAACUGCGUAGAUAUGUGGAUGAACACCGAUGACGACGUCAGCCUCCUGGGCCAGCACUGACGCUCAUGCACGAAAGCGUGGGGAGCCAACAGG
RNAcentral lists this ribosomal RNA (253 nucleotides) under uncultured bacterium. RNAcentral's name for it is "partial 16S ribosomal RNA". It matches the Rfam family "Bacterial small subunit ribosomal RNA", at positions 524 to 776 of the family's 1533-position model. The record is from RNAcentral.